This 440-nucleotide ribosomal RNA is filed under the name uncultured bacterium. RNAcentral's name for it is "partial 16S ribosomal RNA". It matches the Rfam family "Bacterial small subunit ribosomal RNA", at positions 338 to 795 of the family's 1533-position model. The record is from RNAcentral.
CCUACGGGUGGCAGCAGUGGGGGAUAUUGCACAAUGGGGGAAACCCUGAUGCAGCGACGCCGCGUGUGGGAAGACGGUCCUCUGGAUUGUAACCCACUGUCCCCAGGGACGAAGAUGACGGUACCUGGGGAGGAAGCUCCGGCUAACUACGUGCCAGCAGCCGCGGUAAUACGUAGGGAGCGAGCGUUGUCCGGAAUUACUGGGUGAAAAGGGGGCGUAGGCGGGACUGCAAGUUGGGUGUCAAAUCUACCGGCUCAACCGGUAGCCGCACUCAAAACUGCAGUUCUUGAGUGAAGUAGAGGCAGGCGGAAUUCCUAGUGUAGCGGUGAAAUGCGUAGAUAUUAGGAGGAACACCAGUGGCGAAGGCGGCCUGCUGGGCUUUUACUGACGCUGAGGCUCGAAAGUGUGGGGAGCAAACAGGAUUAGAUACCCCAGUAGUC